UACGUAGGGGGCUAGCGUUGUCCGGAUUUAUUGGGCGUAAAGAGCGUGUAGGCGGCCAGGUAGGUCUGCUGUGAAAACUCGAGGCUCAACCUCGAGACGUCGGCGGAAACCAUCUGGCUAGAGUCCGGAAGAGGAGAGUGGAAUUCCCGGUGUAGAGGUGAAAUUCGUAGAUAUCGGGAGGAACACCAGUGGCGAAGGCGGCGACCUGGACGGACACUGACGCUGAGACGCGAAAGCGUGGGGAGCAAACAGG
This 253-nucleotide ribosomal RNA is filed under the name uncultured bacterium. RNAcentral's name for it is "partial 16S ribosomal RNA". It matches the Rfam family "Bacterial small subunit ribosomal RNA", at positions 524 to 776 of the family's 1533-position model. The record is from RNAcentral.